GACGAACGCUGGCGGCGUGCUUAACACAUGCAAGUCGAACGGUAAGGCCCCUUCGGGGGUACACGAGUGGCGAACGGGUGAGUAACACGUGAGCAACCUACCCUUGACUCUGGAAUAACGGCUGGAAACAGCCGCUAAUACCGGAUACGACCCGAAGCGUCAUCGCUCCGGGUGGAAAGCUCCGGCGGUCAGGGAUGGGCUCGCGGCCUAUCAGCUAGUUGGUGAGGUAACGGCUCACCAAGGCUUCGACGGGUAGCCGGCCUGAGAAGGCGACCGGCCACACUGGGACUGAGAUACGGCCCAGACUCCUACGGGAGGCAGCAGUGGGGAAUAUUGCACAAUGGGCGCAAGCCUGAUGCAGCAACGCCGCGUGUGGGAUGACGG
Molecule: ribosomal RNA, 384 nt
Filed under: uncultured bacterium
Lineage: Bacteria
Description: bacterial SSU rRNA
Rfam family: Bacterial small subunit ribosomal RNA
Source: RNAcentral